UACAGAGGGGGCAAGCGUUAUUCGGAAUUAUUGGGCGUAAAGGGCGCGUAGGCGGUCGGACAAGUGGAAGGUGAAAUCCCCGGGCUCAAACCUGGGAACUGCCCUCCAAACUGUUUGACUUGAGUCCGGGAGAGGUGAGUGGAAUUCCCAGUGAUAGGCGGUGAAAUGCGUAGAUAUUAGGGAGGAACACCAGUGGCGAAGGCGGCUCACUGGACCGGAACUGACGCUGAGG
Molecule: ribosomal RNA, 232 nt
Filed under: uncultured bacterium
Lineage: Bacteria
Description: partial 16S ribosomal RNA
Rfam family: Bacterial small subunit ribosomal RNA
Source: RNAcentral